Salvia miltiorrhiza (redroot sage) is the source of this 867-nucleotide long non-coding RNA. RefSeq lists it as uncharacterized. The record is from RefSeq and is a predicted model, not a curated record. Lineage: Eukaryota; Viridiplantae; Streptophyta; Magnoliopsida; Lamiales; Lamiaceae. The transcript has 2 exons.
ACCACUCUGCUCAUUUCUACUCUAUCAGCAAGAGAAGUUCUCUUACUCAUUCCACAAAAACACACUUAAGAGAAAACUCAAAAUACAUGCUACGGAAUUCAAGAGCUCUAUUCCAUCGAUCUACAGCAAACUACCAAGCACAAACCUCCACCUUCACCAUUCAAUAAUUCCCACAAAUUUGCUUUGCCGAGUAGCUCAAUUUUCAGCAUCCAAGCAAUUUCAUAGCUUUUGAAUAGAACGCUCCCAAGGCUUUGUGGACCAAGGGGAUUAGCGCUGCUUUCCUAAGACAAGUUUCUAUGUUUAUGAUCUUCAGGCUUUGCCUAUCUAGGUGAGCUUACUUUUUAAAUGUAUAAUGUAUGAUUGAGUUAUUAAGCUCUAAAUAUUUCAAUGAAAUGCAAACUGUUUAUUCAAUAAAAUGUUUAUGUGCACUAUGCUCUAUUUAAGACUCGCAAAGUUAAUCAAUUGAGGUUCUCUUAUGACCUAACAUGUUGUGUGAGAAUCGUGUACAUAUGCUAGCUAACCUGGUGGGUUGAUCUCCAUCGAGCAUUGGCCAGAGGUGUUAAUGGUGCUCAGCUGGAUGUGUUCCGGAGCAUGUGAAACAUAAGGGCCUGCCUGGGUAGCAUCCCGAUGUCAAAGUAAACUUGUCUGGGUUACGCCAUCAGUUCAAGUAAGCAGGAGUAAAGGAUCCGACAGUGGCUAAAAGGUCCGGGAUCACAGCGAGUAACAGAAAGAGAGUGUGACACAUGCGCACAAAUGAAAGAAAUUAUUUUAACAUGCUUAGAAGUUCUUUUAGUUUAAAACCUUUUAAGUUAUGUCAAUUAUGAUUGGAUAAUCUGUCUUUACGAAAAUAUGAAAUGUUUCAGAAAA